CCUCCUUAAACGAAACGGACUCAUUUUGGUCAGAGUUCACACGAAUUGCUUGGUUGGUAUUUAGAGAGCGAAAGGGCAUAGGCCCUAGAAGGCCUGUAGCUCAGGUGGUUAGAGCGCACCCCUGAUAAGGGUGAGGUCGGCAGUUCAAGUCUGCCCAGGCCUACCAAUUUUCCAUUAUGCUUCGUUAACGCACUGCUCACGUACUGUUAGUACGCGACGCAAGACGUUCCUCGCCUAAAUAAAAAAUAUACCUUAUUAAGGUUUGCAAAAAACCACUGUAAAAUUUGGGGGCUAUUAGCUUCAACUGGGGAAAAAGCGCCCUGGCCUUUGCCCCCCAAGGAAGGGCCAACAANUUUCCAAUCCCUUGCUUUAACCUCCCCCCCAAUUUUUCUUUCCGGGCUU
Molecule: transfer RNA, 402 nt
Filed under: uncultured Gammaproteobacteria bacterium
Lineage: Bacteria; Pseudomonadati; Pseudomonadota; Gammaproteobacteria
Description: partial 16S-23S ribosomal RNA intergenic spacer
Rfam family: tRNA (bases 90-163)
Source: RNAcentral